GUAUUUUAAAGAUUAUGCAAUCUCUACUUUAGUUUUCCCAGAGAACUUUACUUCCUUCCACAAAGAAUCACAAAUUAGGUACAAAAUUAUGAUUUCUGUGUUUUUUUUUUUUUUUUCAGAGCCUGGCCAUAGUAGUGGGAAAGAAGAUGGAUAAAGUUCUUGUUAAUCUAUUGAUGAAAGAAUGAUGCUAAGUUUUUCAAGGCUUCCAGAGUCACGGGAGGAGUCACUUGGUAAAUCCAGGAGCAGAAGCGAGGUUAAGUGACCAGCCUAAGGUAAGAGCCAGAUUUGGAGCUUGGAAUCUGUUAGUCCUUAGGGUGCUUUAUUCCCUGAGCCAAUCCACACUUCUACCUCUGGAAGGGAAUCAAUUGAGGGCUCAGCUUUUCCUCCGCAAGAAACCUGCUCUCCCGGAUAGUAAGUCACACCCCCUGUGAAAACAUCUAAAAAACCUGUUUAUCUUUGUUACCGCUUCAUGCCAUCCUAAGAGUACAGAGUGAUAGCCUCUUUGUGAGGGAAGUCUAUUGAAUGCAGGCUGCUGUGGGAUGCCCUGAGUCUGAUUUUCAGUGGACCACUCUGUAUUAAUCAUGUUG
Molecule: long non-coding RNA, 587 nt
Filed under: Callithrix jacchus (white-tufted-ear marmoset)
Lineage: Eukaryota; Metazoa; Chordata; Mammalia; Primates; Cebidae
Description: lncRNA (ENSCJAG00000083578.1)
Source: RNAcentral